UCAAGUUUUAUUUCUUUUUAUGUUUAGUUAAUUUUUUAUAUUAUUGCUAUUUUUGUUUGCUUUAAUGUUCAAGUUUUUAUUUCUUUUUCUUUUUAUUUUUCUUUUUAGUUAAUUUUUGGUAUUACUGCUAUUUUUAAGAUAUAUUUUUCUAUUGAAUUUAGUUUUGACAAUAUUUAGUUGUGACUUCCAACUAGAUUUAUUAUUUUUUGAUUAUUUUAUUUUUGAUGUUACUACAUUUGAAUGUUAUGAUAUCACUAUUAUUGGUAAAUAAAUGUAGAAAUUUGAAGAAAAAUAAUAAAUAAGAAAAGAAGGUACUUACAAAAAAAAUUAAGAAAAAUUUAAUUUAAAAUAUGAAUGUAAAAUGUCACAUGUAUAUGCUCUUUUGGUCUACUUCUUAACUCCUAU
This 405-nucleotide long non-coding RNA is filed under the name Solanum tuberosum (potato). RNAcentral describes it as "long non-coding RNA (STUB_LNC003459)". The record is from RNAcentral. Lineage: Eukaryota; Viridiplantae; Streptophyta; Magnoliopsida; Solanales; Solanaceae.